Molecule: ribosomal RNA, 1346 nt
Filed under: uncultured bacterium
Lineage: Bacteria
Description: bacterial SSU rRNA
Rfam family: Bacterial small subunit ribosomal RNA
Source: RNAcentral
GACGAACGCUGGCGGCGUGCUUAACACAUGCAAGUCGAACGGAAAGGCCCUGCUUUUGUGGGGUGCUCGAGUGGCGAACGGGUGAGUAACACGUGAGUAACCUGCCCUUGACUUUGGGAUAACUUCAGGAAACUGGGGCUAAUACCGGAUAGGAGCUCCUGCUGCAUGGUGGGGGUUGGAAAGUUUCGGCGGUUGGGGAUGGACUCGCGGCUUAUCAGCUUGUUGGUGGGGUAGUGGCUUACCAAGGCUUUGACGGGUAGCCGGCCUGAGAGGGUGACCGGCCACAUUGGGACUGAGAUACGGCCCAGACUCCUACGGGAGGCAGCAGUGGGGAAUAUUGCACAAUGGGCGGAAGCCUGAUGCAGCGACGCCGCGUGCGGGAUGACGGCCUUCGGGUUGUAAACCGCUUUCGCCUGUGACGAAGCGUGAGUGACGGUAAUGGGUAAAGAAGCACCGGCUAACUACGUGCCAGCAGCCGCGGUGAUACGUAGGGUGCGAGCGUUGUCCGGAUUUAUUGGGCGUAAAGGGCUCGUAGGUGGUUGAUCGCGUCGGAAGUGUAAUCUUGGGGCUUAACCCUGAGCGUGCUUUCGAUACGGGUUGACUUGAGGAAGGUAGGGGAGAAUGGAAUUCCUGGUGGAGCGGUGGAAUGCGCAGAUAUCAGGAGGAACACCAGUGGCGAAGGCGGUUCUCUGGGCCUUUCCUGACGCUGAGGAGCGAAAGCGUGGGGAGCGAACAGGCUUAGAUACCCUGGUAGUCCACGCUGUAAACGGUGGGUACUAGGUGUGGGGUCCAUUCCACGGGUUCCGUGCCGUAGCUAACGCUUUAAGUACCCCGCCUGGGGAGUACGGCCGCAAGGCUAAAACUCAAAGGAAUUGACGGGGCCCCGCACAAGCGGCGGAGCAUGCGGAUUAAUUCGAUGCAACGCGUAGAACCUUACCUGGGUUUGACAUGGAUCGGGAGCGCUCAGAGAUGGGUGUGCCUCUUUUGGGGUCGGUUCACAGGUGGUGCAUGGCUGUCGUCAGCUCGUGUCGUGAGAUGUUGGGUUAAGUCCCGCAACGAGCGCAACCCUUGUUCACUGUUGCCAGCACGUUAUGGUGGGGACUCAGUGGAGACCGCCGGGGUCAACUCGGAGGAAGGUGGGGAUGACGUCAAGUCAUCAUGCCCCUUAUGUCCAGGGCUUCACGCAUGCUACAAUGGCUGGUACAGAGAGUGGCGAGCCUGUGAGGGUGAGCGAAUCUCGGAAAGCCGGUCUCAGUUCGGAUUGGGGUCUGCAACUCGACCUCAUGAAGUCGGAGUCGCUAGUAAUCGCAGAUCAGCAACGCUGCGGUGAAUGCGUUCCCGGGGCU